Molecule: long non-coding RNA, 1341 nt
Organism: Nerophis ophidion (straightnose pipefish)
Lineage: Eukaryota; Metazoa; Chordata; Actinopteri; Syngnathiformes; Syngnathidae
Exons: 3
Source: RefSeq, a predicted model, not a curated record
AGCCGAUGACGACGAAGUGAAAGACGAUGAACUUUGCUUAAACGGUCUUACAAAGUUGGAAGAUGAUUUUCGAGCUGGCGGGUCCGUCAACGGCCGUUCCAGGCAGAGGAGAAGGCUUGAUUGUGCCAAAGACUCCAGACAUCGAAUCCUUGCUCCGAGGGGAAAUCAUCGAAAACGACGGUGAAUGUCCGACAGGCACCCGCUAUUGGUAGCACUGGACAAGUCGGAUAUCCUUGCUUGGAUCCUUUUAAAGUUGCCCGAUAAACUGCUGAGAGUUGAUCUCUCCUCUUGUCCAAAGGUUUUUCGUUCAUUUUUACUUGUAAUACUGGCACUAGGGUUGAUGUAGUAGCUCCACAACAUAACCUUAAAGCCUGUGACUGGAUCCGGUCUAUUUUCCCAAGUCAUGUUUUUGAAGCAGAUUGGUAAAUAAUGCAUCCGUAAUCAAUAACAGAUGGAAUUAAAGUUAUAAAUAUAUACAUGUAUUGUUUUCAACGUUAACCUAUCAGCCCCCCAAUCAUUACCCCUCAAAGACCUCAUUAUAUUUAACACCUUUUUACUUUUUCCCCUAUUUUUUUAUUUUCCGGAAGGAACACUCCUGAAGGAAUAAAUAAAGUACUAUCUAAUCUAAUCUAAUCAAAUCUAUUUUGCUGAUGUGGGUUGACUAGUUCAUAUUUUUAUCAAACCAUAUUCCUAAAUAUUUAAAUACUUGUACCUCUUCUAUAUUUUCACCUUAGAGUUUUUAUUUGGAGCUUGUUUUGUACUUUUGUCUUUGUAAAAUGUAUGACUUUUGUCUUUCCAACAGAGAAUCUUAAACCUCAAGCCGUUCCCCAGUCUUGAACAUUAUUUACCACUUUGUUAGUUUUUUGAUUAUUUCUUUUGACUCUAAAUAAUAUACUAGUCUUUCAUUAAUCUUUUUUUUUUUCCAUUACUUUUCCCCAAAUUUAUAAUUUCCUGCCUCUUCUGGGUCUUACCCUGACUUGCAUAUUGGAAUUGUUACCGCUAAUUUUCCCCUCUGCCGGUCAUUCUCCUUCUUCAUAUAUCCUGUCAUAUCAUUUCAAGACCACUUCUUUGACGAUGCCACCUAAGUUUUUGAUCAUUUGAUAACCCGCUAGGUCUUUCCCCGGUGACGUAUUUUUAACCUUUUUCAAAAUUCGAACCAUUUCAUUCAAAGAAAAUGUCAUAUCCAUAGUGUUGGUAAAGCUAUUAACGUUGUCUUCCAUCAUUUCCCCAAUAUUUAAACUCAUUGUUUUUUCUCUCUUUUGUUUUUCCACAUUUCUCAAAUUAUCAUUACUGUGCACUUUAACACAUUUUUUUUGCUAAAGGUUCUGCUGUUUCUUUACC